Molecule: ribosomal RNA, 263 nt
Filed under: Plastoroseomonas arctica
Lineage: Bacteria; Pseudomonadati; Pseudomonadota; Alphaproteobacteria; Acetobacterales; Acetobacteraceae
Description: Roseomonas arctica partial 16S ribosomal RNA
Rfam family: Bacterial small subunit ribosomal RNA
Source: RNAcentral
GCGGUAAUACGAAGGGGGCUAGCGUUGCUCGGAAUUACUGGGCGUAAAGGGCGCGUAGGCGGCUUUGUUAGUCAGGCGUGAAAUUCCUGGGCUCAACCUGGGGACUGCGCUUGAUACGGCAAGGCUAGAGUGUGGAAGAGGGUCGUGGAAUUCCCAGUGUAGAGGUGAAAUUCGUAGAUAUUGGGAAGAACACCGGUGGCGAAGGCGGCGACCUGGUCCAUUACUGACGCUGAGGCGCGACAGCGUGGGGAGCAAACAGGAUU